Molecule: long non-coding RNA, 2471 nt
Organism: Heterocephalus glaber (naked mole-rat)
Lineage: Eukaryota; Metazoa; Chordata; Mammalia; Rodentia; Bathyergidae
Source: Ensembl
GUAAACAAGGGAGUUAGCAUAGUUUCCUUUCAAUACAGCACUCUUGAUAAAAUGUUUGUAGUAUAACAAAUAAAAACAUUUUCUUGGACUCUCCAGGAAAUUAAUGGCUUAUUUUUCCUGGCAGACUGAUGUGAGGGAUACUAAAUUACCUUCCACUGAUUAAAGACAAGCCACUGCCUCUAGGCAAAGAGAAAAAGAAAAGAAUUAACCAAGCCCUUAGCAAAAGGAGGCAGUGGUGAAAGUUAGGUAAACAAUUCGGAUCUUCUUUGAUCGGACAGUGCAGCUUCCAGAUGCCACAAAACGCUGAGAACCUGGAAGCUGCUCGGGAGACUUCUUAUGUGGAGAGGAACCUCGGCACUUUCUAAGGACCUACUCUGUGCUUGACUGUCACUUAAUUUCCCACCAAGCAAGUAUCCUGUAAGGCCUGUGUCACACACUGGGCAGGUGGUGACUGGAACCUGACUGCAGGGGUCCCCGGCAACUUCUAUGAUCCCAAACUGUGUGUUGAAUUCUCCUGACCAGCAAGCAAGCAAUUCUGCAGCAGAUCCUCACUGGGGACACUGUCUACCUUCAGCUUCUCCUCAAACACUUGCUGAAGAGACCAGUCAAUAGCAAAGAGUCAGUAGAUGCUGUGUGGAAAGUAACCUGCACAAUGGCCACCAUCAAGAUGCUCGAUGUCAGCAAGUGCUAGUGUCUGCUGUCCCCCACCAGAGCUCCCAGCCUGCUGUCUCGCUUGUCUUUUCCAAUGAGCUAACACAGAAGCGACUGAAACCGAACAAGAAGUUCCGACGAGUCACUCAAAGGCAGCCUCACCAUGCACCCCCAUGAUGUACCGUGUCACCACAAGUCCCAAGCAACAGGGCCAAGUCACCAUGGACUGACACACUUGAAACUGUGAGCCAAAAUCAACCCAAGCCCUUUCUAAGUUGAUUUAUUACCCCAGAUGCCUGUCUAUACAGCAGUGGGAAGCUGACUGACAGUGGAUACUGUUGUAAUCAUCUUUGUCAUUUGGGGACCAGGAGGAUGAAUAGCCAACAUAAUGAGAACACAAGGCAGAAGGAAUGAAGGCUCUGGGUCCUUAGUGAGAUGGAGAGCUGUGCCUGGAAAACCUGCUUCUAGAUACUAAGAGACCAGUCGGUCUCCUUACGAAGGCCAGCUGCUAAUUUGUGAGGAAUGCCCUCGGACAUGCCUCAUUAUAGCUUUCAUUAAUACAAGAACUGGUGCGACAUGCUCUUUAGGCUUUGGGGAGAGAGUCUCGAGUAACAACAGCAAUAGCAAACACUUCUCGGAGCUGACUUAUUCUAAUGCCUAAUCCUGCCCUGGUGAAGUCAGAAAAAUUAGCCUAGUGAAUUCUGAUUUGAGAACUCUGUGGGGAUUUUGUUCCUAACGCCAAUUUCUGCAACUAUUCCAUGGGUACCAAAAAAGGACUCCCACACACUCAGAGCAUACAAGGAGUGAAGUUUAGGUCAAGGCUCAGUGUCUGUGUGUCUGUGUCCAAUCGUUCCCACGCGGUUGAACACACAGCUCUGUCCCUGUUGAAUCGCCCUUGUGCCUUUCUCAAAAACCGCAUGAUCAUAUUUUUGGAGAAGAGGAAAAGAAAGGCAAACACAACAACAAUGUUUAAGUUGGCAACGAUGCGGCUCCGUGGGCUGCCCCAUUCCCUGCAGGGGCCGCAAACUGGCGCUGUCCCUGGCUGGACUUGGGUGGAAGGAGCACCAGCCUUGGCCUCCCACUCCCUUGGGGGGCCCUGCAGCACGGAUGUCACAGAAGGUUCCCGAGAGCGACGUGUGGAGAGCCCUAAACUGGAAACCACCAAGCUGCUCACCCUCAGGAGUGCAGAUCAGAUUCACGCGGUGCAUCGCGAUGGCACAGGAACAUACAACCUAAGCUACAUGUGGGAGUGUGGCUAAAUCUCCUGUCUUCUAAUCUUCCUCUAUGUCUCUAAGUCUCCUUCCUCUAAAUCUUCUGUCUCCACGACAGAAAGCCUGGGGCACUGGGAUUGAACCCAAGGCAUGUGUUGCAUGAUUCCCGUUGCAGGAAAUCGACACAUGGGCAAAACUAUUCUGCUCUGUUGGAAGUCGAGCUCCUGCUGUGCCUCGGUGGGAAGCAGGGGCAGGGACAGGGCGGGGUCCUGGGAAGUUGUGGGAUGCUCAGCCUUUUGAGCUGCUACUGGCUUCAAGGGUGUGUUAACCCUAUGAAAAUGUAACAGUAAAGCUGGGCGUGGUGGCCCAUUUCUAUCAUCCUAGGUGACUGAGGCAGGAAGACUGCAAUCUGUGCUCAGCCUGGGCAACUUGGCAGCAGAGCAAGACCCUGUGUCACAUUAAAAAAAUAAAAAAGGGCUGGAGCUAUGGCUAAGUGCAAAGGCCCUGGGUUCGAUUCCCAGUACCGCAAAACAAACAAAUCAAUGGUACACGCCCUAUGCACUUUCUACAUGUGUACGUUCUAUUUCCAAUAAAAAUUUUAAAAGAGUG